RNAcentral lists this non-coding RNA (70 nucleotides) under Puniceibacterium sp. IMCC21224. Lineage: Bacteria; Pseudomonadati; Pseudomonadota; Alphaproteobacteria; Rhodobacterales; Paracoccaceae. The record is from RNAcentral.
ACGCGAAACCGGCCCCGAUAAUGGGCCGGUCGAUGGGGCGUUGUGGCCCUGUCCUGAUGAGCAGCUUGGG